CUAACAAGGAUUCCCCCAGUAACGGCGAGUGAAGCGGGACCAGCUCAAAUUUGAAAUCUCCGAUGCCUGCAUCGGCGAGUUGUAGUUGCGAGAAGCACUUUCUAGGUGGAUCGGUCGUGCCUAAGUUGCUUGGAACAGCACGUCGCAGAGGGUGACAACCCCGUCUGUGGCGCGGCCGGCCGCUGACGAUGUGCUUUCGAAGAGUCGGGUUGUUUGGGAAUGCAGCCCAAAAUGGGUGGUAAACUCCAUCUAAAGCUAAAUACUGGCGUGAGACCGAUAGCGAACAAGUACCGUGAGGGAAAGAUGAAAAGAACUUUGAAAAGAGAGUUAAAAAGUACGUGAAACCGUUAAAAGGGAAACGAAUGGACUCAGCAAUGCACCGUUUGAGAUUCAGCCGGUGGGUGGAAUCGGCCCGGGGUUUGCGGAUCCGAACGGACCGUGGUCUCGGGCUCGUUUUUCCCCGCCGUCGCACUUCUCUUGGGUGCACGUCAACGUCGGUUGGGACUGGGUCUGAAAGUUGCCGGGAAGGUAGGUCUGGCAGCCCGGUCUCUCAUGGCUCAGGCCCGACCGAGGAGUCGCAGCGCAUGCCUCUUGUGGCUAGGGUCCCGUCCUUCCGGCCGGUUGUCGAAUGCGGUGGACUGCUUGCAGUGCUCCGCGACUGCUGCCGGUCGUUGGGGUGGUGAUCUCGUACCAUGCGCUUGGGAUGUUGGCGGUCAUAUGGGUCC
RNAcentral lists this ribosomal RNA (725 nucleotides) under Caryophyllia versicolorata. RNAcentral's name for it is "eukaryotic LSU rRNA". It matches the Rfam family "Eukaryotic large subunit ribosomal RNA", at positions 65 to 641 of the family's 3401-position model. Lineage: Eukaryota; Metazoa; Cnidaria; Anthozoa; Scleractinia; Caryophylliidae. The record is from RNAcentral.